AACGGUCUAUACCUGCGGUACCUGCGGAGGGAUCAUUACCGAGUUUACAACUCCCAAACCCCUGUGAACAUACCACUCGUUGCCUCGGCGGAUCACCGCGCCCCGUGAAACGGGCCGGCCCGCCAGAGGACCUAAACUCAAAUGUUUUAUUGUAUCUUCUGAGUAAAAACACAAAUAAAUCAAAACUUUUAACAACGGAUCUCU
This 204-nucleotide unclassified non-coding RNA is filed under the name soil metagenome. RNAcentral's name for it is "partial contains 5.8S ribosomal RNA, internal transcribed spacer 2, and large subunit ribosomal RNA". The record is from RNAcentral.